Molecule: ribosomal RNA, 450 nt
Filed under: uncultured bacterium
Lineage: Bacteria
Description: partial 16S ribosomal RNA
Rfam family: Bacterial small subunit ribosomal RNA
Source: RNAcentral
GUGGGGAAUUUUGGACAAUGGGCGAAAGCCUGAUCCAGCCAUGCCGCGUGCAGGAUGAAGGCCUUCGGGUUGUAAACUGCUUUUGUACGGAACGAAAAGACUCUGGUUAAUACCUGGGGUCCAUGACGGUACCGUAAGAAUAAGCACCGGCUAACUACGUGCCAGCAGCCGCGGUAAUACGUAGGGUGCAAGCGGUAAUCGGAAUUACUGGGCGUAAAGCGUGCGCAGGCGGUUAUAUAAGACAGAUGUGAAAUCCCCGGGCUCAACCUGGGAACUGCAGUUGUGACUGUAUAGCUAGAGUACGGCAGAGGGGGAUGGAAUUCCGCGUGUAGCAGUGAAAUGCGUAGAUAUGCGGAGGAACACCGAUGGCGAAGGCAAUCCCCUGGGCCUGUACUGACGCUCAUGCACGAAAGCGUGGGGAGCAAACAGGAUUAGAAACCCGGGUAGUCC